AGGACUAGACCUAUGUGCUCAGAAGGCGGCCGAGGCGAUGACCUGCAGGGCCAUGUAGACGGUGGCGCCCAAGGCCACGAAGAAGGCGAGGGCACGGGAAGGCUGGGGCACCACGACCACGGCGUAGACCAGUGUGUGGACGAUGCGGGCGAUGCCCACGGCGCGGAACAGGUUGAUGGCCAGAAAGGCGGCCGGAUCAGUCAGGACGUAGAGCAGACCGAUGGCGAAGAAGGGCAGGAUGUUCUCCAGGUCGUUGCGGUGGGCACGGCGCACACGCUCCACGUUCGGAUCGUCGAACUUGACCUUCAGCUUGGGGGACAUCAGGUCCUCGGGGUUGGCGAAGGUCUGAAAAUGAAGAUACCGAUUAAAGAAUCGAAAUACAUAAAAUUAGGAAUGUGAUGUGCAUUCAUAUGCAUCUUUUUAUUGUUUUUCCAUUUGAAUUUCGUAUCGUUUUGUACAGUUGCCAUGUAUUAUU
Drosophila melanogaster (fruit fly) is the source of this 475-nucleotide non-coding RNA. The record is from Ensembl. Lineage: Eukaryota; Metazoa; Arthropoda; Insecta; Diptera; Drosophilidae.